Molecule: ribosomal RNA, 480 nt
Filed under: uncultured bacterium
Lineage: Bacteria
Description: bacterial SSU rRNA
Rfam family: Bacterial small subunit ribosomal RNA
Source: RNAcentral
GACGAACGCUGGCGGCGUGCUUAACACAUGCAAGUCGAACGGAGUUACGUAUGAAGUAUUUCGGUACGGACUAUGUAACUUAGUGGCGAACGGGUGAGUAACACGUGGGCAACCUGCCCUUAACCGGGGGAUAACAUUGUGAAAACAGUGCUAAUACCGCAUAACAGAGUAUCGGGCAUCCGAUAUUUUUAAAAGGAGCAAUCCGGUUUAGGAUGGGCCCGCGUCCAAUUAGCUAGUUGGUGAGGUAACGGCUCACCAAGGCUACGAUUGGUAGCCGAACUGAGAGGUUGAUCGGCCACAUUGGGACUGAGACACGGCCCAGACUCCUACGGGAGGCAGCAGUGGGGAAUCUUGGGCAAUGGGCGAAAGCCUGACCCAGCGACGCCGCGUUGGGGAUGAAGCCCUUCGGGGCGUAAACCCAUGUUGUAGGGGACGAAGAAAGUGACGGUACCCUACGAGAAAGCCCCGGCCAACUACGUG